AUGGAGGAGGGGCAAGCUGCAGCGAGGAGGGACUGCGCCGGCCACAGAGCUGGAGGCCCGUCAGCCGCGGGGAAGGAGCGCGCCGGCCGCGGGGAGGGAGGGCGCUGGCCGCAAAAGAGGAUGGGUGUCGACCACGGGUUGGGAGAGCGCCGGCCGCGGAGGAGGGGCGCCGGCGACGCGGGUCGUGGGGGUGGUGAUGGCACGCUUUUGUUAUCGGGGCCUGGUGGCGUUGAGGUUGGAGGUUGGGUCUCCGGCGGCGCCGCCAUUGGUGGUCUGGGCUCGGCGGCGGCGCGCUUGAAGGUCGGGACUCCGGCGGCGGCGUAG
Molecule: ribosomal RNA, 324 nt
Filed under: Triticum aestivum (bread wheat)
Lineage: Eukaryota; Viridiplantae; Streptophyta; Magnoliopsida; Poales; Poaceae
Description: partial small subunit ribosomal RNA
Source: RNAcentral